RNAcentral lists this ribosomal RNA (587 nucleotides) under uncultured bacterium. RNAcentral describes it as "bacterial SSU rRNA". It matches the Rfam family "Bacterial small subunit ribosomal RNA", at positions 338 to 916 of the family's 1533-position model. The record is from RNAcentral.
CCUACGGGAGGCAGCAGUGGGGAAUUUUGGACAAUGGGCGCAAGCCUGAUCCAGCAAUGCCGCGUGCAGGAUGAAGGCCUUCGGGUUGUAAACUGCUUUUGUACGGAACGAAACGGCCCUUUCUAAUACAAGGGGCUAAUGACGGUACCGUAAGAAUAAGCACCGGCUAACUACGUGCCAGCAGCCGCGGUAAUACGUAGGGUGCGAGCGUUAAUCGGAAUUACUGGGCGUAAAGCGUGCGCAGGCGGUUAUAUAAGACAGAUGUGAAAUCCCCGGGCUCAACCUGGGACCUGCAUUUGUGACUGUAUAGCUAGAGUACGGUAGAGGGGGAUGGAAUUCCGCGUGUAGCAGUGAAAUGCGUAGAUAUGCGGAGGAACACCGAUGGCGAAGGCAAUCCCCUGGACCUGUACUGACGCUCAUGCACGAAAGCGUGGGGAGCAAACAGGAUUAGAUACCCUGGUAGUCCACGCCCUAAACGAUGUCAACUGGUUGUUGGGUCUUCACUGACUCAGUAACGAAGCUAACGCGUGAAGUUGACCGCCUGGGGAGUACGGCCGCGAAGGUUGAAACCCCGAAGGAAUUGACGG